RNAcentral lists this ribosomal RNA (103 nucleotides) under uncultured bacterium. Its description in RNAcentral is "partial 16S ribosomal RNA". It matches the Rfam family "Bacterial small subunit ribosomal RNA", at positions 1380 to 1482 of the family's 1533-position model. The record is from RNAcentral.
CUUGUACACACCGCCCGUCACACCAUGGGAGCGGGUUUUACCAGAAGCAGGUAGCUUAACCGCAAGGGGGGCGCUUGCCACGGUGUGGCCGAUGACUGGGGUG